Molecule: long non-coding RNA, 203 nt
Filed under: Capsicum annuum
Lineage: Eukaryota; Viridiplantae; Streptophyta; Magnoliopsida; Solanales; Solanaceae
Description: long non-coding RNA (CANN_LNC000195)
Source: RNAcentral
AAUCCCCCCGAUGAUGCCCGACUCGGCCCCUAGAAACACCCAACACCUCACUAGCAUUCUCCCUGAUGCACCUAGCCACCCUAUCCCAUAUACUAUCCACGUCCCCCCUACACUCCCAUACCCUCAUUCCUGCCAAUUUCUCCCCUAUCUCCCACGCAUUCACUGGCGUCAAGCCGCCCCACUUAAUUCUAGGUCUACACUCC